UAGCACCGCUGGUGCUCGAGUUGUAAUUUGUAGAGUGGAUCCUUGGGGCCGUUCCUUGCCUAUGUUCCUUGGAACAGGACGUCAUGGAGGGUGAGAACCCCGUGUGGCGAGGGGCGCGGCUCCGUGUAAGGGCUGCUCGAAGAGUCGAGUUGUUUGGGAAUGCAGCUCUAAGUGGGUGGUAAAUUCCAUCUAAAGCUAAAUACAGGCGAGAGACCGAUAGCGAACAAGUACAGUGAUGGAAAGAUGAAAAGAACUUUGAAAAGAGAGUGAAAAAGUACGUGAAAUUGUUGAAAGGGAAGGGCAUUUGAUCAGACAUGGUGUU
This 322-nucleotide ribosomal RNA is filed under the name Arxiozyma bovina. RNAcentral's name for it is "LSU rRNA". It matches the Rfam family "Eukaryotic large subunit ribosomal RNA", at positions 123 to 442 of the family's 3401-position model. Lineage: Eukaryota; Fungi; Ascomycota; Saccharomycetes; Saccharomycetales; Saccharomycetaceae. The record is from RNAcentral.